RNAcentral lists this ribosomal RNA (120 nucleotides) under uncultured bacterium. Its description in RNAcentral is "partial 16S ribosomal RNA". It matches the Rfam family "Bacterial small subunit ribosomal RNA", at positions 29 to 141 of the family's 1533-position model. The record is from RNAcentral.
AGUGAACGCUGGCGGCAGGCCUAACACAUGCAAGUCGAACGGCAGCGGGUCAGUAGCAAUACUGAUGCCGGCGAGUGGCGGACGGGUGAGGAAUACAUCGGAAUCUACCUUGUCGUGGGG